AGAUUUAUUCCGCUUUUGUAGUUCUUUCUCUCUACUCUUGGCUUAUGCAUCCGUUUCCGUUCCAUUGUUUAGCAUGAAGGCUACUUUGAAAGGCAGCUACGACAUCGGAAAAAACGCCGGUGCUGCUGCCACUCUCGCCGUCAACACCAGCGACGUUAAGCUCAAGGUUUCCAUAACGGAAGCCACUUUCAAAAACAGUCCCAGGCUAAACGGUUAACUCUCGUUGUCCAGAAACCCGACUCCUUCAUCAUGGACUACAUAAGUCUCGAAAAGGCUAUAUAUUCCUCUGCACACCCAGUGACUAAUGAAUGAAAAAGUGGUCCUUCAUUCAACAAUUGUUCUAGUUUUUGUGGCUUUCUUUCUUAUUUUUUAUUUCCUUUGAUUCUUGUACAAGUGUAUACCCAUACGUCUCCCGUCACCAACACUUUACUUCGAUAAAUUAAUUAAAAAAACUACAAAUUAUUACUGUUCUA
Molecule: long non-coding RNA, 473 nt
Organism: Glycine soja
Lineage: Eukaryota; Viridiplantae; Streptophyta; Magnoliopsida; Fabales; Fabaceae
Exons: 2
Source: RefSeq, a predicted model, not a curated record